AGUGAACGCUCGCGGUAGGCCUAACACAUGCAAGUCGAACGGCAGCACAGUAAGAGCUUGCUCUUACGGGAGGCGAGUGGCGGACGGGUGAGGAAUACAUCGGAAUCUACUUUUUCGUGGGGGAUAACGUAGGGAAACUUACGCUAAUACCGCAUACGACCUACGGGUGAAAGCAGGGGAUCUUCGGACCUUGCGCGAUUGAAUGAGCCGAUGUCGGAUUAGCUAGUUGGCGGGGUAAAGGCCCACCAAGGCGACGAUCCGUAGCUGGUCUGAGAGGAUGAUCAGCCACACUGGAACUGAGACACGGUCCAGACUCCUACGGGAGGCAGCAGUGGGGAAUAUUGGACAAUGGGCGCAAGCCUGAUCCAGCCAUACCGCGUGGGUGAAGAAGGCCUUCGGGUUGUAAAGCCCUUUUGUUGGGAAAGAAAAGCAGCAGGUUAAUACCCCGCUGUUCUGACGGUACCCAAAGAAUAAGCACCGGCUAACUUCGUG
This 492-nucleotide ribosomal RNA is filed under the name uncultured bacterium. Its description in RNAcentral is "partial 16S ribosomal RNA". It matches the Rfam family "Bacterial small subunit ribosomal RNA", at positions 29 to 507 of the family's 1533-position model. The record is from RNAcentral.